ACAAUACUUUAACCCCCCCCCCCCCUCCCUUUAGUCAUGCAUGGAACUUGUGUUCAUAUUAUAGAAUUAACAUUUGAUGACAUGUUUUUUUAAGGACCAGAACUUGAUGCACUAUGAUGAUUUGAAUGUUAUGCUUACAUUGCGUUGCGAUUGGAGAAUAGAAUGUUAUGAUUGGUUUGAUAGUAUAUUGAAAGUUAUUGGUCUUAUUUUUUUAGCACUGUAAAUAUAAACAUAAUAAAUGUUGGUGUUUUUUUUUUGUUUUUUGUGUGUGUCAC
Biomphalaria pfeifferi is the source of this 275-nucleotide non-coding RNA. The record is from the annotation of a GenBank genome assembly. Lineage: Eukaryota; Metazoa; Mollusca; Gastropoda; Planorbidae.